UACAUGUGAUGCUUAGUGCCAUAACUGACAAGGGCAGCCAAUGCCCACACUCACUGGCCAUCAGGGCCCUCAAUGACAGACAGAACCAAUAAACAUCCAGGCAGGAGUCAAAACAAGCCUUCACUUCAUGUUAUCUCCAAAGUUUCAUUCAGCCCUCACUCAAGGUCUGUAGGAAAAGAUUUCAAAAGCACAGUGAUUCUGUUGACACCUGAUCACAAUCGUUCCCAGUACAUAUAUUUUAUCACCAACUGGUUCUUGGGCUAGCCGAAGUUAGCCUAGGCUAACUCAUAUUUGUAAUCAGGCUCAAAAAUCAUAUUCUAUCUUUUCUCCUCACUCUAACUCCCGGUAGUCAAUUAAAGGUACAGUUCCCAUGGCUACUGGAUACUGUACUGGUACAGCUCUCCAGGACCUCUCAUGGCAUUCCCAGUCUACACUAGGGAAUCUGACAUUUUCAUUUCCCAGUGGCAUAUGAUGUCACAUGAGACCCAAGUAUCCGCACUACCCGAAGUCUCCACAAAUUCCAAUGGCCUGCACUUGUACAGUUUGGGUUUUUGAUAGAUAAAGCACGUAUGAGAAGAGAAAACAAAAUAAAUCAACUUCAGCAGAAAGAAAGCCAGCACUGUGCUGUCAAUGUUUUUUUUUUCCCUUUCCCUUUUUAUUUCCAGUUCUAGCUUCAAAAAGCAGAAGGUAAAUAAUGUCAGGUCAAUGAAUAUCAGAUAUAUUUUUUGACUGUACAUUAAAGUGACGUGUAAUCUUUUUACACCUGCAAGUCCAUCUUAUUUAUUCUUGUAAAUGUUCCCUGACAAUGUUUGUAAUAUGGCUGUGUUUAAAAGAAAUCUAUACAAUAAAGCUGUGACCCUGA
Molecule: long non-coding RNA, 862 nt
Filed under: Rattus norvegicus (Norway rat)
Lineage: Eukaryota; Metazoa; Chordata; Mammalia; Rodentia; Muridae
Description: long non-coding RNA NONRATT019910
Source: RNAcentral